UACGUAGGUGGCAAGCGUUGUCCGGAUUUAUUGGGCUUAAAGGGUGCGUAGGCGGUGACCUAAGUCAGUUGUGAAAUACGGCAGCUUAACUGUCGAGGUGCAAUUGAUACUGGGUUACUUGAGUACUGAUGAGGUAUGCGGAAUGGACGGUGUAGCGGUGAAAUGCUUAGAUAUCGUCCAGAACACCGAUAGCGAAGGCAGCAUACUAAGGAGUAACUGACGCUGAGGCACGAAAGUGUGGGGAUCAAACAGG
RNAcentral lists this ribosomal RNA (253 nucleotides) under uncultured bacterium. Its description in RNAcentral is "partial 16S ribosomal RNA". It matches the Rfam family "Bacterial small subunit ribosomal RNA", at positions 524 to 776 of the family's 1533-position model. The record is from RNAcentral.